This 216-nucleotide long non-coding RNA is filed under the name Gossypium barbadense (sea-island cotton). RNAcentral describes it as "long non-coding RNA (GBAR_LNC009182)". The record is from RNAcentral. Lineage: Eukaryota; Viridiplantae; Streptophyta; Magnoliopsida; Malvales; Malvaceae.
AGGAGGAUUGCAUUGAUGUUGAUACUGAUAGGGGUAAAUUGAUAUAGGUAAUUACGGUCUUCCCAUGCAUGUUGUAGCUUAUUUUCAAGUAAAAUCGAGUCAUUUUAGUGAUAAAUUGUCUUCUAUUUUGUUUGUAGGUAUGGUUACUUUUUUUGUGUUUUUUUUAUAGAAAUUUUGAUGUUAACUUAGUGCUCAAUUGAUAAAUGGUACUUAAGG